RNAcentral lists this long non-coding RNA (650 nucleotides) under Sparus aurata (gilthead seabream). RNAcentral describes it as "lncRNA (ENSSAUG00010005446.1)". Lineage: Eukaryota; Metazoa; Chordata; Actinopteri; Spariformes; Sparidae. The record is from RNAcentral.
CACUGAGGGAGGCAUUUGGAGAUGCUUCAGCUGACAGAUCACUGCUGGGCCACUACGGGUUUUGUGUUUGCCGUCCAGCAGCCGAGCGUCACUGACAGAACUGCUUCCUUGUUGACUGGCGACACUCGAAACUCCCCCGGGAUUGACUGAGCUCUCUGUGAGGGACGGGAGAAAGAUAAGGAGGGAAAUGGGCGAGAGUCAUUGGUGUGUUUGUGGAUGGGUCUUCAGCGGUACCAAACCGUGGCAAGCAUCGUCCGUCUGGCUCCCCUCGCCGACGCUUGCGAUUUGUAGAAGUCACACAGUACACUGAUUGCCAAUAAUGAUGAGCUGGCGAAGAGAGGCAGAGGGAGAGAUGAGUUUGAUUGCCUUCUGGUCAUUCCGGGGAAGUGGAGGAGCAGAAAAAAGCAGGAAGGUAAAGAGUAAGAAAGAGGAGGAAAGCAGUGUCCCAGUGCUCUUCAUCGUCAUUACAACCACCAUCAUCAUCAAAAAGGUCUUGCCCUUUGAAAGAGUGAGUGUGCGAAAGAGAUCUGAUAAGCACGAGCUUUAGGGUUUGUGGCGCUGGAGUCCUUUUGGUGUCAAACCCACUGGAGAGUCCGUCUGGCUUCGACUGUUUCUUUAAUGGCGACGACAGUCUUGAGCACACAGCCAAC